GACCCUACGGGACGCAGCAGUCGGGAAUAUUGCGCAAUGGAGGAAACUCUGACGCAGUGACGCCGCGUAUAGGAAGAAGGUUUUCGGAUUGUAAACUAUUGUCGUUAGGGAAGAUAAAAGACUGUACCUAAGGAGGAAGCCCCGGCUAACUAUGUGCCAGCAGCCGCGGUAAUACGUAGGGGGCAAGCGUUAUCCGGAUUUACUGGGUGUAAAGGGAGCGUAGACGGCGUGCCAAGUCUGAUGUGAAAGGCCGGGGCUCAACCCCGGGACUGCAUUGGAAACUGGCAUGCUGGAGUGCCGGAGGG
RNAcentral lists this ribosomal RNA (305 nucleotides) under uncultured bacterium. Its description in RNAcentral is "bacterial SSU rRNA". It matches the Rfam family "Bacterial small subunit ribosomal RNA", at positions 335 to 656 of the family's 1533-position model. The record is from RNAcentral.